Long non-coding RNA from Mustela lutreola (European mink), 1443 nucleotides. RefSeq lists it as uncharacterized. The transcript is spliced from 3 exons. Lineage: Eukaryota; Metazoa; Chordata; Mammalia; Carnivora; Mustelidae. The record is from RefSeq and is a predicted model, not a curated record.
CAGGCAGCGGAGAACAAAGGAGGAGGUGCCGCCACCCACCGCGGACCCUCCAGGGUUGGCUGAGCAGGGGUGGGGAGGGGCGAGGGAGGGGAGGGCUGAGGCGGGCCGAGGCCCAGCCCUCCCUCCCCUGCCCUGCCCUUCCCGGGAGCGCCGGGAUUUCAUAUGCAAAGGUGGAGAGGCGGGCACCAGGCGCCCGCACACGGCUCGCGUGUUUCAAACAAAGAAUUUACAACAAAGGGCCGGCGGCCGCGGGGUUUGUCAGAAUUCAGCGACGGGGAAGAUUUAUCUAAGCCGAGCGGAGGGGCCUGUGACCUUGAACAGGCGGUGGUUGAAGACGGAACAAAGAGCGGCUUGUGAUUAUCGUUAUUUAAUAUCAUGGCCUGAAACUGUCGGGAGGGGGAAUUAGGUGGCACAAGAGAAUUGUUUUAUUCCAGGAGAUGUAAGGCAGAUGCCGUGCAGGGGGAAACGCUGGGGCGGGAGGGAGAGGCGGUAGAUCUGGGGGGGCGGGGGGAGGGGGAGCGCACCCGGGAGGGACGGGGAUCGGCGGGAGCCGCCCCCUCCCUCGGAGGCAGGUCCGGCCUCAGCCCCAGCAGGUGUAUCAGGGAAGGCGGGGCCCUCCGGGCAAGGGGCUGGCAGAAAGUGGCCUGUCCUGGAUGCAGUGGGAAUCCCGGGGUGGGGGGCGCUGCCAGCAAACCCCAGACCGGGUGUCCAGCGCUGCCAGGAAACCUGGACACACGCCCUCAAGGAAGCAUGGCCCGCAGGAGGGGUGCGUCAGUGGCCUGGGGGGCUCCGAGGACCAGGGUGUGGAAGGGAGCAGAGAGCUGCGGGGUCCUCUCAUCAGGCCCCCCAAGAAGAGGGCGGUGCCCCUCACACAGGCGUCGGAUCCCGGGAAGUGUGCUCUUCUGGGCGGUGGCACACGGGGGUGACUGCGGGCGCAGGAGGAGGUGGCUGGCUGGGCUGCCUGGCUGCCAAGACUGGAGCCGAGAGCCAUGUGAGCCCGCGAUGGGCACCAGGUUGGGCCAGACCCGUGCCAGCUGUCCGGCUUCCCGGGGUCCAAGCAGGACACCUGCCUUCUCUCUGGGCACAUCGGCUUCUGGUCCUUUGGGCUGCCUCUUCUAACAAUGCCCUCUCUCCUGGGUUGCGGCUGGGCUAAGGGUCGAUCCUGGAGGAGGCAGGGUACUCGGCUCCACCAGACGGUGUCCGGACCCGGGACAACCCCGCGGGCCGCUGCCCUUGCCGUCUGGCUCAUCUCUGGGCGGCAGGAGAGGCUGGGAAGCCUUGGAUGGGAAGAGACAACAGUUUCCACUUGACCUUCCUCAACUGUAGACGUGCCCCGCCCAGGAAGUAAGUGGGAAGCCCUCGGUAGUCCGAGAGGCCGCCAGGGAAUAUGGCUGGGCCCCUGGGGACCUGGUCAAAGGCUAAGAUGUUUCUAGUUGACAAAAC